This 235-nucleotide ribosomal RNA is filed under the name uncultured bacterium. Its description in RNAcentral is "partial 16S ribosomal RNA". It matches the Rfam family "Bacterial small subunit ribosomal RNA", at positions 99 to 334 of the family's 1533-position model. The record is from RNAcentral.
CGAACGGUCGCGUAACACGUGAGGAACCCACCCCGAUCUCAGGAAUAACAGUGGGAAACCACUGCUAAUACCGGAUGCCUUCCUCGAGUCUCAUGGCUCGGCGAAGAAAGGUUUACCGGAUCGGGAGGGUCUCGCGGCCUAUCAGCUUGUUGGCGGGGUAACGGCCCACCAAGGCGUCGACGGGUAGCUGGUCUGAGAGGAUGAUCAGCCACACUGGGACUGAGACACGGCCCAG